GACAGAGGCCUCCAGGCCCAUAGAGGAGGCAGUAAACAGUGGUGGAGACAGAGGCCUCCCAGGCCCAUAGAGGAGACAGUAAACAGUGGUGGAGACAGAGGCCUCCCAGGCCCAUAGAGGAGGCAGUAAACAGUGGUCAAGACAGAGGCCUCCCAGGCCCAUAGAGGAGGCAGUAAACAGUGGUGGAGACAGAGGCAUCCAGGCCCAUAGAGGCAGUAAACAGUGGUGGAGACAGAGGACUCCAGGCCCAAAGAGGAGGCAGUAAACAGUGGUGGAGACAGAGGCAUCCAGGCCCAUAGAGACAGUAAACAGUGGUGGAGACAGAGGCCUCCCAGGCCCAUAGAGGAGGCAGUAUACAGUGGUGGAGACAGAGACC
Molecule: long non-coding RNA, 376 nt
Organism: Oncorhynchus tshawytscha (Chinook salmon)
Lineage: Eukaryota; Metazoa; Chordata; Actinopteri; Salmoniformes; Salmonidae
Source: Ensembl